Rattus norvegicus (Norway rat) is the source of this 2765-nucleotide non-coding RNA. The record is from RefSeq and is a predicted model, not a curated record. NCBI's taxonomy places the organism in Eukaryota, Metazoa, Chordata, Mammalia, Rodentia, Muridae.
UUAAAAACCAAGAAAUCUGGGGACUCACAUAUCCUUGAGCACACCAGUGUGGUUGAGAAUGAUCUCAAACUCGGAUUCUCUUGGUUCUGUCUCCUGAGCGCUGGAAUUAUGACAUGUUUUAAGGAAUGGAACUGAAGGCUUCAGGCAUGCUAAGCACAGUCUACCAACUGUCCUCAUCCGUGUUACAGAGUUUCCCCAAGGACAAAGUGAAAAUAUACAUGGAGUUACAAAUAAGAGGACUAACAUAAAUUAACUCCAUCAUUUUAAAUCCAUCUUCUUCCUUUACAAGCGUCAGAGGAUACAAGAAUCUAUUGGGAAUUCCUCAAUAACAGGGAAUCCAAUAGACUUGCCAGUGACAGUUGUUACUCAGAAUCCUGAAAUCCCAUGCAAGAUAGAGAGCCCAGAGACACAUCCGUCAUUUCCUAGCCAUUAGGAUGAAAGCCAAAUGUCCAAACUGCUGAAAAGGAAGACACAAAGAUAUUGAUGACCUCACGAGGAUGCGCCACAGGAAUAUGAACUCUGACUAAGACAAAUUGGACUGAAGGGGUCAUGCAAAGGAGUUGAAGCUUGGCACCAUGAAGAGAGCCUAUGAGAGGCUAUUGGUAAAGCCUAGCUGCAGCAGAAGACAGCAGUGAUUUGGAGACACCAGUACCAUGAAAUGACCAUCAAGAACAGCAGCAACACUGGAAUACAGGCAGCUGGAGCCUAGAAGACAAGGUGUGUGCUACAAAGGGCAGAGCUGGAGAAGUGACCCAAGCCCUUCCUAGAAGAUCGUGAGUGGAUCCCAGACGUUGGACAGUUAGAGUUUGAUUUUGCUUUUGAUUGUGACUGUGCCCUGAUAUUUUUCCCUCUUGAAGGAAGAAAGUAUUUUAGUGGAACCCAUAGUUAAGAGAUGUUGAACGGUAAAAAGACUUUGAGUUUUAUGAGAGAUUGGAUAUUUUAAAGGGAUUGAAAUUUUACUAUGUAAGGAUUUGUAAAGACUGUGGAACUCUUAAAGUUAUUUAGAUCUUGGGGAUGAAUUAGAAAGUAAGGGUUGAAGCUUAACAGUGAUGUGUCUGUGUGUCAAGUUGACAAGGUUCAAUUGUACUGGCUGGUUUUAUGUGUCAACUUGACACAAGCUGAAGUUAUCACAGAAAAGGAGCCUCAGCUGAGGAAAUGCCUCCAUGAGACCUAGCUGUAAGGCAUUUUCUCAACUAGUGUUCAAGGGUUGGAGGACCCAGUCCAUUGUGGAUGGUGCCGUCCCUGGGCUGGUAGUCUUGGGUUCUAUUAGAGAGCAAGCUGAGCAAGCCAGUAAGUUAACAUCCCUCCAUGGCCUCUGCAUCAGCUCCUGCUUCCUGACCUGCUUGAGUUCCAGUCAGCAAUGUGGAAGCAUAAGCUGAAUAAACCCUUUCCUCCCCAACUUGCUUCUAGGUCAUGAUGUUUGUACAGGAAUAGAAAUCCUGACUAAGACAGCCAUUAUGUUUUUCAUUAAAAGGCAUGAAAUGCAAACAAAUUACAAAUUAAUAUUUUAGAGGCUUGAGACCAUAGAUGAUCAAACUGAUGACCUCAAUCCAACUGAAAGAACAGACUGCCUGUCAGUUAUUCUGAGCUAAAUUGCUAAUAGGUGGCCAUGGAAUCAGACAGAUGGCCACACAUGUCCGAAGGGGCCUGUAUCACAUGAUGUCACAGGAAUGGCUUAAGUGUUCGCCAUUCUUUCAUAAUAAGAUUUGGGUAACCCUCAUUUUAUAAAUAUUGAGAUUUGUCUGAUGUUUGGGUGCAAGAAGGAAUUACUUAGCAUUUACAUGUUGUUAGCCUCAAUUCUUGUCACAGGUCCCCCAUUAUCACAGGUGUAUCCAGGCCCCGUGUGAUCAUGAACUAUAGCCGUGCUUUUGACUACUUUAUUGGGUUCUUUUAUCUACCACCCUUCUCCACCUCAAUCCCUUCCAACCUCCAACACUAGGUAAAGAAGGUCAGAUGGGAAAGGGGACAGAGAUCUCUUUAGACUGUUUCCUGCUGAUUAGGGGACAUCCAGUUCCUAGGGAUAAGUCCAAUCUUCGUCGUUAGGAUAUCGCUAAUCUGUAAUAGCAGCAGCAAAAUCAGCAAAACAGACAAUGCAACAGCAGGAGCCACUAGCACUAGCAGGGACCAGCAGGGACCAGCAGGGACCAGCAGGGACCAGCAGGGACCAGCAGGGACCAGCAGGGACCAGCAGCCUCAGCCUCUCUCAGUCAGGGAUCUGGCCUUUUCAUACCUUCUCAAGAGCCCCCAGAAUUCCAAACAUAACUACCUUCAGCUGGCAGACUCACCCCGUGCCAGAGCACAAGACAAAUCACAGUUACUUUCUGUGGACAAUCUGAAGCAUCCCCAUAUCCCACACACCUUCCCAUGAUAUAAUAGGCUUUUUAAAAGAAACCAACAUUCUCGGUACAGUGAGCCAAAGUGCAAGGCAAGCGGCCUGCAGCCAGUCUCAGAGAAGCAAUCAUCCGUAUCACACAUAGGUAACUAUAAACACGCACACACGAUAACUGAGCAUGUAUCUGCAGAUCUUGGACCUCACAGCUAGGUCUGCAAAAUGCUUCAGUAGAAAGCUUUGGGACAUUUGCAUGAAACAGACUGUGUGUCGAUGUGAAGAAACUUGGUAUAGCUUGUUCCCGUUCCAACCCUGGACGAUGGGGACAAGGGAUAGCCUGAGGAAUGGCCUGCCACCCAAAGGAUGACCCAUGAGUGGCUUGAGAGGCCAUGGAUGGGCUCUUUAUAUGCCUCAUUGCAUAUUAUAUUUAUUUACU